GAGUUUGAUCUUGGCUCAGGAUGAACGCCGGCGGUGUGCCUAAUACAUGCAAGUCGUACGCACUGGCCCAACUGAUUGAUGGUGCUUGCACCUGAUCGACGAUGGAUCACCAGUGAGUGGCGGACGGGUGAGUAACACGUAGGUAACCUGCCCUGUACAGGGGGAUAACAAUCAGAAAUGACUGCUAAUACCGCAUAAGACCACAGCACCGCAUGGUGCAGGGGUAAAAACUCCGGUGGUACAGGAUGGACCCGCGUCUGAUUAGCUGGUUGGUGAGGUAACGGCUCACCAAGGCGACGAUCAGUAGCCGGCUUGAGAGAGUGAACGGCCACAUUGGGACUGAGACACGGCCCAAACUCCUACGGGAGGCAGCAGUGGGGAAUAUUGCACAAUGGGGGAAACCCUGAUGCAGCAACGCCGCGUGAGUGAAGAGUAUUUCGGUAUGUAAAGCUCUAUCAGCAGGGAAGAAAGUGACGGUACCUGACUAAGAAGCCCCGGCUAACUACG
RNAcentral lists this ribosomal RNA (507 nucleotides) under uncultured microorganism. RNAcentral's name for it is "bacterial SSU rRNA". It matches the Rfam family "Bacterial small subunit ribosomal RNA", at positions 9 to 505 of the family's 1533-position model. The record is from RNAcentral.